UACGUAGGGGGCAAGCGUUGUCCGGAUUUAUUGGGCGUAAAGAGCGUGUAGGCGGCCAGAUAGGUCAGCUGUGAAAACUCGAGGCUCAACCUCGAGACGUCGGUUGAAACCAUCUGGCUAGAGUCCGGAAGAGGAGAGUGGAAUUCCCGGUGUAGCGGUGAAAUGCGCAGAUAUCGGGAAGAACACCCGUGGCGAAGGCGGCUCUCUGGGACGGUACUGACGCUGAGGCGCGAAAAGCGUGGGGAGCAAACAGG
This 254-nucleotide ribosomal RNA is filed under the name uncultured bacterium. RNAcentral describes it as "partial 16S ribosomal RNA". It matches the Rfam family "Bacterial small subunit ribosomal RNA", at positions 524 to 776 of the family's 1533-position model. The record is from RNAcentral.